RNAcentral lists this long non-coding RNA (3298 nucleotides) under Canis lupus familiaris (dog). RNAcentral describes it as "lncRNA (ENSCAFG00000057176.1)". Lineage: Eukaryota; Metazoa; Chordata; Mammalia; Carnivora; Canidae. The record is from RNAcentral.
ACAGGCUGACUCUUUCUCAAGUAAGAGAUAACUCCUGCCUGGAUCCAUCAGCUAGAACAUCAGGUUUGCCUGCCUUCAGAGUUGAACUAAGAUCUUCUUGGACCUUAAGCCAGCUUUUGGAUUGAAACUUAUACUGUCAGUUCCCUUAGUUCUCAGGCCUUCAGAAUCAGACAAGAACUACACUAUCAGCCCUCCUAGAGUCUCUGGCUUGCAGCUGUAAGUCUUGGAACUUCUCAACCUCUAUAAUUGAGUGAGCCCACUUAUUUGUAUAUUUAUACACACAGACACACACAAGUACACACAAUCCAUUGGUUCUGUUUCUCUGGGAAGCUCUAAAACACUUGAUUUCAAGGCAAUUUUUUUUAAACAUAAAAAGUUUUUUUAAAUGUUUGGAUCAUCUCUUACACAGUCAGUGACAUUGUAGGGUAGCUCUCCUUUAAGCAUCUAUCUUCCUACCAUCAUAGAUGGUUUUGACUAAUUAAUUGUGAAGUCAUUCUGACAGUGAAGAAUGUAAAAAAAUUGAGAUCUGCAAUCACUGCAUUUAAAAAGUAUCAUAUAAAAAUAAUAUAUAAAAUUAUAUUCAAUAAAAGUAGUAUCAACUCUGCUGAGAGUGCAAUUUACAUUUUACGUUUAUGAUCACAUUUGAUUGGAUCUUCACAUCAAUUCUGAGAGACAGAGCAAAUAUCCUGAGCUCGACAUACAGGUUCAUAAUCUGAUCCCUACAGAUAGUAACUGACCUCUAACAUUGUGCCUUUUCCAUUAUAACCAGAUCACUCUGAGUCAUUCCCUGCCACAAACCAGUAAGACAGCAUCUCCAGUUAUUUCUCUAACUACAUAGGCUAUUGAUGCUUUUCAAUACAAAAUGUGCUACCCAAUGGCUGUUUUCUGGCUGACUUGGCUCAAUAGUCCAGAGCACAAUGUAAAUAUCCCAAGCUUAGGGUUAGAUUUCUGUUUAGAACAAGUGACUUUCCUUCAUUGAAUGGGCACUGAAUACACCUCAUCAGUGUAUAUUUAAGUGAUUAAGAUCCCAUAUAAAUUAUUUUGUUCCAAAGUGAGUAGAAGUCUGGGUAAACCGUUAAAUUAUAUCUCCCCAACUAAAGUGAAACUUUCUAGAAGUCAGGAGGUAUAUCUUAGUCAUUUCUGUCCCCCAAAGCCUUUGUGGAGAGCAGGUGUUCUAUAAACAUUGAUUAUCUGGUUGUCAUUUGGUGUGCACCUACUAGAUGUCAGCACCUGUGCUAAAGAGUUUACAUUCAUUACUUGUAAUCUUUUCAACUGUCCUUUUAAGAAGAUAGUAUUUUUUUAUUAUACAGAUGAGGGAACUGAGGCUCAGAGAAGCCAUGUGCUCAAGGUCUCAAAGAUGAAAGUCAUGGUGCUGAAACCAACUCCUCAACUGCUAAGUUCCAAUGCCCAUGUCGUCUCCACACCACCCUGAAAGUUGCCCAGCAUUGAUGAGAAAAGAGGCAGCUUCCAAGCCCAUAGAAAGUAUAUUAGUAGAAUCUUGUUGGUAUAUAAUCUUCAGAAAUGACCAAAUAAUCCAUGGGUGAGGACUAGGGCUAGAUGGGUCCAAUCUCUGUACUCUGGGUAGCUCCUCCUUCCACUUGAUCUAGUACAUUUGAAUAAGGAGAGUAUAAGAGCCACACAUAAAGCUGGAAGAACAAGAAGGUUAAAGAUCCUCUCUGGAAUAUAAAAACAUCACUCAUGGGGGUGCCUGGCUGGCUCAGUUGGUGGAGCAUUUGAUUCCUUAUCUCAGGGUUUGUAAAUUCAAGCCCCAUGUUGGGUGUAGAGAUCACUUAAAAAUAAAAUCUUAAAAAAAAAAAAUCAUUCAUGUUACAAGGACCAGGAGCAGGAUAAAGGUCUGUUCCUUUUCACAGCUGUGUGUCUGAGGCUGGCUCACCUGGUCUGAGUGCUCUUCGAGAUGAUCUUUGGGUAGUUGUUCUCAGACCUGUUUUAUAAUAUAAAAGGGAAAAUCUUUGCGAGACCAAAUAUCUUACCGAAUGACUUUCUUUACAACCUAUAAGAAGUCUAGCUUUAUUUAGGUACUCCUAAACAUUCUCAUGUUUAUUUUCUAAGAGUUUUUGUUUGUUUGUUUUUUAAUCUUUCCCUUCUAAGUCACAUUUUAGCUAUAAAGGAUAUAGUCAUCAGCAAGUGACAGUAAAUUUUCACUGCAGUCCAGAUGAUAUCAAUACCUCGAGAAAGAAUUUAGCAGAAAGAGGACCUUUUCUUCCUGGAGGAGGGAAUUCACAAAGUAACUGUUUAAGGUUAAGUUAAGCAAUUAAGAUAAAUUGUUAGUGAUAUAUAUAGAAAGCUGACCACUGAGCAAAUAUGUAUCACUGGUAUUUUUAAAAACAGUAUUUGCAACUUUCUAAUCAACUCUUAUAAAAUGAGUAAAAUCUAAGACAGCAUAUCCUAAUAUGUACUCCACGGAGUAUUAAGAGAUGUUAUUUUGUAAGAGGAUUCUGUGCGCAAAUCACUUUAGAAGAUACUGUAGAAACCUAUUUGCUUAAAAAGGUAAAAUCCUAGAAUCCUCCCCAGAGUUUCCUAACAUUCUAAUGAGAAUAUUACUCCUCAUAAAUGGAAUACAAUACAUACUAUAUUGGUCAUGUUUCUCCAAGGAAACAGAAUCAAUGAGGUACAUAUAUAUGAAAGGAAAUUAAUUUUGAAGAAUCCAUUCACAUGAUUGUGAAGACUCAGAAGUCCCAGGAUCUGCUGUCUGCAAGGUGGAAAUCCGGGAAAGUCAGUGGUAUCAUUCAGCCCAGUUCCAAAGGCCUGAAAACCAAGCAAAUGGAUCACGUAAAUCCCAGUCUGAAGGCUUGAGAUGAGAUGAGAUGAGGUGUCCCAGCCCAACAGUGAGGUAGAAAUAAAGAAGGGCAGAUUCUUCUUUCCCCACUUUUCAUUCUUUCCAGGCCUUAAGCAAAAUGGAUAGGCAAUCCACUUUACUGAGUCACCAAUUCAAAUGCUAAUCUCAUCCAGAAAUACCUUCACAGAAACACCCAGAAAAAAUGUUCAGUCUGGCAUUCCAUGACCAGUUGGGUUAACACAUAAAAUUAACCUGUAAAUUUAACACAUAGUUUUUUGCCCAAAACCAUUCAAUCACAGAAUCAGUCUAUUUAUAACUAAGUGAGGCGAAGGGCUGGCAUUUGUAAAAUAACUUGGGAAAGGUGAUUUAGAUCCUUGAUUUUUAAUGAAUUCCUUCUCAGCCCACAGCAUCAUUAGCAUCGUAUUGGUGCUCUGGCAAAGCACUGAAACAAAUUUGAUAAAUGUCAAUUGAGCCCAUUUUCUUCUGAAUCCUGCAAGUUGC